UGGGGAAUAUUGGACAAUGGGGGGAACCCUGAUCCAGCCAUGCCGCGUGUGUGAAGAAGGCCUUAUGGUUGUAAAGCACUUUAAGCGAGGAGGAGGGUACUGGUAUUAAUACUACCAGGUACUGGACGUUACUCGCAGAAUAAGCACCGGCUAACUCUGUGCCAGCAGCCGCGGUAAUACAGAGGGUGCGAGCGUUAAUCGGAUUUACCGGGCGUAAAGCGUGCGUAGGCGGCUAAUUGAGUCGGAUGUGAAAUCCCCGAGCUUAACUUGGGAAUUGCAUUCGAUACUGGUUAGCUAGAGUGUGGGAGAGGAUGGUAGAAUUCCAGGUGUAGCGGUGAAAUGCGUAGAGAUCUGGAGGAAUACCGAUGGCGAAGGCAGCCAUCUGGCCUAACACUGACGCUGAGGUACGAAAGCAUGGGGAGCAAACAGG
Molecule: ribosomal RNA, 430 nt
Filed under: Pseudomonadota bacterium
Lineage: Bacteria; Pseudomonadati; Pseudomonadota
Description: Proteobacteria bacterium partial 16S ribosomal RNA
Rfam family: Bacterial small subunit ribosomal RNA
Source: RNAcentral